RNAcentral lists this non-coding RNA (31 nucleotides) under Mus musculus (house mouse). Lineage: Eukaryota; Metazoa; Chordata; Mammalia; Rodentia; Muridae. The record is from RNAcentral.
UUCCCUGCAUGCCUUGACUUAGGUAUGAUGA